RNAcentral lists this long non-coding RNA (835 nucleotides) under Homo sapiens (human). Its description in RNAcentral is "HSALNT0258336". The record is from RNAcentral. Lineage: Eukaryota; Metazoa; Chordata; Mammalia; Primates; Hominidae.
GCUUUGGGCUCUAGCUGCCUGGGAAGAUAGCACACGUCCCUGUCCCCCACUCCUGCUUGCUCUCCUGUGCCCGCUCUGCCCUGGCAUACUCUUGCGUGCUCAUCUUACAGAGCGUCUCCUCUCAGUCUUACCUCUUUGCCCUCCUCCAACCAACUGGGAUGAUUCUCUCAACGGACUCCCUUGGAAUUGCCCCAAACUCUUCCAGUCACAUCUCUGCAGGGCAUUUGGAGACUGGGCAGCCGGCAGAUGUCUGUGGAGUGUCUGUGUCAUCACCUGAAAGGGUGCCCUCAUUCAGAGGGUGACUGAGGAACAGAGGAAAGCCCACAGCAGAGGAGCGAGCCUACAGCUGUGGAAGGGAGUCGAGGUGAGCAGGGCAGGAGAACAAGGAAAACACAUACAACGUGUUACCUCCAAACACUUCUGUCCCAGCUGCCCGCAGUCCUCCCGGCCGGACUCUAGAAAAGGAAGAAAAGCAGGAGGAGAAGUAAAAUCCUGGAUAAAUCCAGCCUGGCCGAGGAUUCACACUUUUCCGGUGGACCACGGUUCUCUGACUAUGCACCAACACAUGGCUGAGGGAGAGCAGAAAGAGAAAUUCAUACGCAGCUGCAGGACACUGAAGAUUCUUGGCAUCUAUGAAUAACGAAGACUUCCACGGCUGCCGCAGUGAGUGGCAAGGGAUGUGGCCAGCCGCCAGGAGUGCUGCGGCCAGGGCGGCCGGCAAGCCCAUGCCCACCAGUCACGACCCUGCAGCUACAGCUCAUCACACCCCCAAACCAAAAAUGGUCAGUUUUUUUUUUCAUUUUUCAAGAGAAAUUGCAAAUCUCGCUCUUUACAU